ACGAGUGGCGGACGGGUGAGUAAUGUCUGGGAAACUGCCUGAUGGAGGGGGAUAACUACUGGAAACGGUAGCUAAUACCGCAUAACGUCGCAAGACCAAAGAGGGGGACCUUCGGGCCUCUUGCCAUCGGAUGUGCCCAGAUGGGAUUAGCUAGUAGGUGGGGUAACGGCUCACCUAGGCGACGAUCCCUAGCUGGUCUGAGAGGAUGACCAGCCACACUGGAACUGAGACACGGUCCAGACUCCUACGGGAGGCAGCAGUGGGGAAUAUUGCACAAUGGGCGCAAGCCUGAUGCAGCCAUGCCGCGUGUAUGAAGAAGGCCUUCGGGUUGUAAAGUACUUUCAGCGGGGAGGAAGGGAGUAAAGUUAAUACCUUUGCUCAUUGACGUUACCCGCAGAAGAAGCACCGGCUAACUCCGUGCCAGCAGCCGCGGUAAUAC
Molecule: ribosomal RNA, 439 nt
Filed under: Escherichia fergusonii
Lineage: Bacteria; Pseudomonadati; Pseudomonadota; Gammaproteobacteria; Enterobacterales; Enterobacteriaceae
Description: bacterial SSU rRNA
Rfam family: Bacterial small subunit ribosomal RNA
Source: RNAcentral